UAAGGAAUAUUGGUCAAUGGACGAAAGUCUGAACCAGCCAUGCCGCGUGAAGGAUGAAGGCCCUCUGGGUUGUAAACUUCUUUUAUCUGGGACGAAAAACAGGAAUUCUUUCCUGCUCGACGGUACCAGAGGAAUAAGCACCGGCUAACUCCGUGCCAGCAGCCGCGGUAAUACGGAGGGUGCAAGCGUUAUCCGGAUUUACUGGGUUUAAAGGGUGCGUAGGUGGGUAGGUAAGUCAGUGGUGAAAUCUUCGAGCUUAACUCGGAAACUGCCAUUGAUACUAUCUAUCUUGAAUUAUCUGGAGGUAAGCGGAAUAUGUCAUGUAGCGGUGAAAUGCUUAGAUAUGACAUAGAACACCCAUUGCGAAGGCAGCUUACUACGGAUAUAUUGACACUGAGGCACGAAAGCGUGGGGAUCAAACAGGAUUAGAUACCCCGGUAGUCC
This 444-nucleotide ribosomal RNA is filed under the name uncultured bacterium. RNAcentral describes it as "bacterial SSU rRNA". It matches the Rfam family "Bacterial small subunit ribosomal RNA", at positions 355 to 796 of the family's 1533-position model. The record is from RNAcentral.